Long non-coding RNA from Daktulosphaira vitifoliae (grape phylloxera), 2157 nucleotides. RefSeq lists it as uncharacterized. The transcript is spliced from 9 exons. The record is from RefSeq and is a predicted model, not a curated record. Lineage: Eukaryota; Metazoa; Arthropoda; Insecta; Hemiptera; Phylloxeridae.
GUAAAUUAAUAAAAUAAUAACAUUUUAAAUAAUACAAUGAUCUAUGAUGACUUUAUUCAGACUAGUGCGAAUUCAUUUGGCGAGCAGAAGACGGAAUAAUUAGACAUGCCGCUAAUCACUGACAAGCAAUUCUAAUGCGCGCCUUUUUAAUUGUGAUAUAAUUUAGUUGUGAUUUGUGUGCUAUUCCCGCAAAUUGUUAACAAAUAUAUCAUUUCUAUAAAUGCUCCUUUUGGGACGUUACUAUUUUCUUAUCAACAAGAGAACUAACACAUUUCUGCCUUUCUUGUCUCUUUCCUGUUAAUAAUUUGUUUCGCGUUUAACUCAAAAAACUAAUAUCCAAAUAUAUUAAAAACAACUGAUUAUAUUGGAGCGGAGAAAAAUUUCAAAGAUAUGUAAUGACUGAAAAACAGUAGUGUUAGUGCUUCAAAACAACUUGAAGAAAAACAGAUAAAUCUGCCAGUUCUGGAGGAUUUUUUGAUGAAAAAAAGGUUUACUAAUCAAAAUACCCUGGAUCAACUACUGCAACAAUUAAUUAAAGUGUUAAUUUACCAUUUAGAAUAAUUGUAAAUCUUGUUUUAAAGGAUAUAAUUGAAUGAGGUUUCCCCAACAGAAAACUUAUGUCUCGGCCUACUUUAAUGAAAAGUAUUGAGAAAGACUUUCAUAAAUUAUCCUUCAAAAUGAAAUCUGAAAUGUUUAAAUGUUAUCAUAUUGUUGCGACUACAGAUUUUUAAAAAGUAAUAAAUUUUUUUAGAUUGUACAUUGGAAUAACAGUCACAUGGAUCAAUGAGGAUUUAUUACUAACACUAAGAAGACUAGAAGAGUCACAUACAUGUAAUAACUUAGCUAAAGCAAUAGAUGAAGUAUACACACAGUUUACAUUUCAGAUAAAUUAUGUUAUUGUACUACAUAUAACAUUUUAAUUUCCUAAAAUGUUUUGAAACAUUGAUCAUGUACUUGAUUAUGAAAAAUUGAAAUUUCUAAUCAGUUGCUUGUGUACAAUUUAGUAGAAGAAGAUGAUGAAAUAGAAUAAAUUGAUGUCAUCAAUUUUAGCAUUCUAAAUAAUAAAGAUUAGAUUCUCAGUAUUUGUUAUCCAAAUAACUCAAAAAUGUAAAUGUUACCCAAAAUCACCGAUGUUGUAAACACACAAUUUGAUAACAACAGUGGUAAAUAAAAAUUAAUAUAAGAAUAUAACCAUCCAUUGUAUAUUUAAAAAGUAACAUUUUAUAUCAAAUAUUUGAUUUGUUUAAUUAACAAUUUCUGUAUAGGACUCCUAUAUAGCUUUGUCUAAUUUUACUUUAAAAAAAACAGUCCAGAAUCACUUUUGCCAAGUCAACUGCUUUGCAGAACAAACAAGGGUGCUCGACCAAGUUAGCUAAUUUAAUCAAACAAAAUAUUGGCGUUUAAUUAAUAACUCCCAACGAGACAUGUUGGAAUUCAUCGUAUGAUGCAGUGGUGUUGCUUAAUAAAUUAAUUAAAAAUAAUGAACUUAAAUUUAGAAUUAGUAUGGAUGAAUUAUCUAUUAUGAAAUUUAAUAGAUGUGACAUUGUAUUUUUAAAUCAAUGUCAAAAAAUAAUAGGAACAAUUUCAAUAAGCCUUGAUUUACUAUAAGGAGAUAUUAACUUAAAAUUUAACCAUCUCUCAUAUAAUGACACAAUUCCCAAUUAUAUGCAAGGUCUUGUAACUGCUAUAUUAAAUGGUAUAAAAACAAGGUUGUCUGAUUCUUUGAUGAAAAUUUUUUUAACUACUACUGUUGUCUGCCACCCACAAUUUAAAACUGUCUGGAUUAAAAAUGAAAUAAAAAAACAAAUGGGCACGAAAUUAUGACCAAAUUCAUAAUUUAUCUAGUUUCUUUAUCGGGACACAAAAUGUCCAUGGGAAAAAGUCAAUAGUUAGUCAUGAAAUUGACAGAAUAUUGGGUACAUCUACAGCAAAAACAUUAGAAUUUUUACAUAACUUACCCAAAAUUAAAAAAUUUUUCAUUAAAUACAACACUCCUCUACCAUGCAGUGCAUCAGUUGAGAUUUUGAAUUUUAAGUGUUGGUGUUGCUGCAAUCACUAAAAAUAGGACUAACAUAUCUGAUAUAUAUUUUCAAUAAAUAAUGUUUUUAAUGUGCAACCAAUAAAAUUUUUUAUUAAAAUAAAAAACUUUCAAUCAUU